AACGCACGAGACCUGCGGACCUGCGGAGGGAUCAUUACCGAGUUCUCGCCCCUCGCGGGGUAGACCUCCCACCCACUGUGAUCACUACCGUCGUUGCUUUGGCGGGCCGCUGGGCCCAGCCCACCGCCGGCUCCAGCUGGCGCGUGCCCGCCAGAGGCCCUACAAACGCUGGAUAUCAGUGCCGUCUGAGUACACAUGUUAAUCGUUAAAACUUUUAACAACGGAUCUCUAGAUCGGAAG
This 240-nucleotide unclassified non-coding RNA is filed under the name soil metagenome. Its description in RNAcentral is "partial contains 5.8S ribosomal RNA, internal transcribed spacer 2, and large subunit ribosomal RNA". The record is from RNAcentral.